AACCCCUGUCCCAUGUUGCCAGCAUUAAGUUGGGGACUCAUGGGAGACUGCCGGCGGUCAAGCCGGAGGAAGGUGGGGGAUGACGUCAAGUCAUCAUGCCCCUUAUGUCUUGGGCUGCACACGUGCUACAAUGGCCGGUACAAUGGGCUGCGAUGGGGUGACCCGGAGCGAAUCCCACAAAACCGGCCCCAGUUCGGAUCGAAGGCUGCAACUCGCCUUCGUGAAGUCGGAGUUGCUAGUAAUCGCGGAUCAGCACGCCGCGGUGAAUACGUUCCCGGGCCUU
This 283-nucleotide ribosomal RNA is filed under the name uncultured Coriobacteriaceae bacterium. RNAcentral's name for it is "partial 16S ribosomal RNA". It matches the Rfam family "Bacterial small subunit ribosomal RNA", at positions 1100 to 1382 of the family's 1533-position model. Lineage: Bacteria; Bacillati; Actinomycetota; Coriobacteriia; Coriobacteriales; Coriobacteriaceae. The record is from RNAcentral.